AGUGAGAUAAGAAAAUGUGUUUUCUUUGUACUGAGGGAAAGAAGAUGUCACAUCCUCAUUGUUACAUCACAACUCCUGCUCAGAGUCACUAGGAGGAAUCACAACACUCAAGAUGGGUGCCCUGCUUGCCUUACUGUUCCCUUCUGUGGCUGUGGCUGCCUAACCUAGGUGAUGUGACUACUUAUCUCCAUCCAUCACACAGGGAGCCUUCAGUACACAACAGUGCUCGAUAAACUAUUCACAGGAGAAAAGGCAAGUUUGAGAUUUAAGUACAGAGGGGAUUAUUUUCCUAAGACUACAGAACAUCAAAGCUCACAAGUCAUAACCCAGUAAAGCUCCUGUGUUGAUCCCAGAGGUUCAGCCCAAGCAGAGAACCUAGACAAUGCACUACUUGAUACAACAUCCAAUGAAAUACAAGCUUUUGUUUUUUGUUUUUUGGAAGUAAUAUUUAAAAUCUUUUUUUUUUUUUUUUUUUUUCCUCUUUUUCCUUUUCCUGGAAAGAUCAUAUCUGUGUGCAGGUAGAAGAAAAAUCAUUUUUAGCAAAUCUACCUGUUGGGAAAUGUUGGGAGGAAAGUAAAACGUUCAAUGUCAUUCUGGAUCAACAACCUCUAGAAUUACUUGAACAGCCAUCUCUAAUAAUCACCUACUGAGCACUUUA
Molecule: long non-coding RNA, 658 nt
Organism: Coturnix japonica (Japanese quail)
Lineage: Eukaryota; Metazoa; Chordata; Aves; Galliformes; Phasianidae
Source: RefSeq, a predicted model, not a curated record